CCCGAUUUGGACCAACUUGAAAACUGGGCCAAUAAUCAAGAAUCUAAGUACAUUUUUAGAUUCAGCAUAUCAAAUAACCUAACUGAUUCAUUUUUUUGUCAAAAUCAAACUAAGUUUAAUUUUGGACCCUUUGGACCUUAAUGUAGACCAAUUUGAAAACGGGACCAAAAGUUAAGAAUCUACAUACACAGUCAUGACAGUUAGAUUCGGCAUAUCAAAGAACCCAAAUUAUUCAAUUUUGAUGAAAUCAAACAAAGUUUAAUUUUGGACCCUUUGGGCCCCUUAUUAUGUUGGGACCAAAACUCCCAAAAUCAAUACCAACCUUCCUUUUAUGGUCAUAAACCUUGUGUUUAAAUUUCAUAGAUUUCUAUUUACUUAUACUAACGUUAUGGUGCGAAAACCAAGAAAAAUGCUUAUUUGGGUCCCUUUUUGGCCCUUAAUUCCUAAACUGUUGGGACCUAAACUCCCAAAAUCAAUAACAACCUUCCUUUUGUAGUCAUUAACAUUGUGUUUAAAUUUCAUUGAUUUCUAUUUACUUAAACUAAAGUUAUUGUGCGAAAACCAAGAAUAAUGCUUAUUUGGGCCCUUUUUUGGCCCCUAAUUCCUAAACUGUUGAAACAAAACUCCCAAAAUCAAUCCCAACCGUUCUUUAGUGGUCAUAAACCUUGUGUCAAAAUUUCAUAGAUUUCUAUUAACUUAAACUAAAGUUAUAGUGCGAAAACCAAGAAAAUGCUUAUUUGGGCCCUUUUUGGCCCCUAAUUCCUAAAAUGUUUGGACCAAAACUCCCAAAACCAAUACCAACCUUCCUUUUGUGGUCAUAAACCUUGUGUUAAAAUUUCAUAGAUUUCCAUUCACUUUUACUAAAGUUAGAGUGCGAAAACUAAAAGUAUUCGGACGACGACGACGACGCAGACGACGACGACGACGCAGACGACGACGCCAACGUGAUAGCAAUGUACGACAAAAAAAUUUUCAAAUUUUGCGGUCGUAUAAAAACCAUUUA
RNAcentral lists this long non-coding RNA (1003 nucleotides) under Mytilus galloprovincialis (Mediterranean mussel). The record is from RNAcentral. Lineage: Eukaryota; Metazoa; Mollusca; Bivalvia; Mytilida; Mytilidae.